GAGGAGAGGGGUGGAUGAGGGGAGCCUGCCGCCAUCUUGUUGGGCACCGGAAUAAAGGAAAGCUGUAAGGAGAGACUUGAAGGACA
Strigops habroptila (Kakapo) is the source of this 86-nucleotide long non-coding RNA. RefSeq lists it as uncharacterized. Lineage: Eukaryota; Metazoa; Chordata; Aves; Psittaciformes; Psittacidae. The transcript has 2 exons. The record is from RefSeq and is a predicted model, not a curated record.